This 226-nucleotide long non-coding RNA is filed under the name Physcomitrium patens. Its description in RNAcentral is "long non-coding RNA (PPAT_LNC000121)". Lineage: Eukaryota; Viridiplantae; Streptophyta; Bryopsida; Funariales; Funariaceae. The record is from RNAcentral.
UAGUAUUCAAAAACUAUCCAUUACUCUUCAACAACAAAGAAAACAACAAAAAAUAAAGAGGAAGCACCAAGCUUAACCCCGACUCAUGACUAUCACAAUCUUGCACUCCAACAAACUUCUACAACUCUUAUAUAAUUACUAUUGAUUUCCAGAUUCUAAUCGUAAUCCUAUAAUAACCGCUUUUAAUAACUGAAUUAACCAUCCAUCCUCCUGAACUGACUAUUCU